GGGCAGGCGGGGCCGCGCGCGUCUUGGAGAGGGUCUGUGGUGGCCGGGCCCCGCCGCUGAGGGGGCAGCGAGCGCGCUGUGCUCCCCUCAUGCAGUCCAGAUAUGACUGCUGUGACCAAGAAGACUUGUAGCAGCUAUCUCAUAAAUGGAAGUCAUAGGGACAACGGCUGCUUUUGUGUUACGGAACUGCAUAGUGAACAUAGUGUGGUCUAGCAACUGCAAGAUAGGAUGGUGAAGUCCAUGGAUCUGAUAUAAGAGUCUACAGAUGUGUAUA
This is a long non-coding RNA of Harpia harpyja (harpy eagle), 274 nucleotides long. RefSeq lists it as uncharacterized. Lineage: Eukaryota; Metazoa; Chordata; Aves; Accipitriformes; Accipitridae. The record is from RefSeq and is a predicted model, not a curated record. The transcript is spliced from 3 exons.